RNAcentral lists this ribosomal RNA (497 nucleotides) under uncultured bacterium. RNAcentral's name for it is "partial 16S ribosomal RNA". It matches the Rfam family "Bacterial small subunit ribosomal RNA", at positions 28 to 507 of the family's 1533-position model. The record is from RNAcentral.
GAUGAACGCUGGCGGCGUGCCUAAUACAUGCAAGUCGAGCGAACAGACGAGGAGCUUGCUCCUCUGACGUUAGCGGCGGACGGGUGAGUAACACGUGGAUAACCUACCUAUAAGACUGGGAUAACUUCGGGAAACCGGAGCUAAUACCGGAUAAUAUAUUGAACCGCAUGGUUCAAUAGUGAAAGACGGUUUUGCUGUCACUUAUAGAUGGAUCCGCGCCGCAUUAGCUAGUUGGUAAGGUAACGGCUUACCAAGGCGACGAUGCGUAGCCGACCUGAGAGGGUGAUCGGCCACACUGGAACGGGGACACGGUCCAGACUCCUACGGGAGGCAGCAGUAGGGAAUCUUCGGCAAUGGGCGAAAGCCUGACGGAGCAACGCCGCGUGGGGGAUGAAGGUCUUCGGAUCGUAAAACUCGGUUAUUAGGGAAGAACAAAUGUGUAAGUAACUAUGCACGUCUUGACGGUACCUAAUCAGAAAGCCACGGCUAACUACGUG